RNAcentral lists this transfer RNA (77 nucleotides) under Salmonella enterica subsp. enterica serovar Paratyphi B var. L(+) tartrate +. RNAcentral's name for it is "tRNA-Val". It matches the Rfam family "tRNA". From Rfam's summary of the family: Transfer RNA (tRNA) molecules are approximately 80 nucleotides in length. Their secondary structure includes four short double-helical elements and three loops (D, anti-codon, and T loops). The record is from RNAcentral. Lineage: Bacteria; Pseudomonadati; Pseudomonadota; Gammaproteobacteria; Enterobacterales; Enterobacteriaceae.
GCGUUCAUAGCUCAGUUGGUUAGAGCACCACCUUGACAUGGUGGGGGUCGUUGGUACGAGUCCAAUUGAACGCACCA